Molecule: long non-coding RNA, 4742 nt
Organism: Juglans regia (Persian walnut)
Lineage: Eukaryota; Viridiplantae; Streptophyta; Magnoliopsida; Fagales; Juglandaceae
Exons: 2
Source: RefSeq, a predicted model, not a curated record
AUCCCCACCUUCCAUCCCUUAGCUUGUAAGACAAGCCAUUGGACUUCUUACUUCCUCUCUUCACCUAUCAGCUUCCUCAACAAGUUAUUUGGAUUCUUCUUCCUUCUCCUACACGCCGGUUCCAAGGGACAAGAAAACAAAAUCCUCUCAUUCUCCCUUACACACAUUGACGGCUUGCAAGGCAAGACAAGUAGACUCCUUGCUCAUUCCUCUUCACCCGUUAGUCCCACAUGAAGGAGAGAAAACUUCUCAAGUUUUCCUUCACACGAAGAACCCUUCGGUUUACCCCAAGCCUCGCGAUCACUUCUUCUCCUCAAGCCGAUUCUUCCACUUCAUAAACCUAAGAUUUCUACCGAAAAUCUUCAAGGAAAAUCAACCUCGUAAAAAUUUUUCUGCUGUGUUCUAGCCCUUAAUCCUUCGGAUUUCCUCUUCCUCUUCUCGUGGUUGUGUACUUUCGUGGCUUCAAAGGGGACCCAAACAGGUAUUAUACCUUCCAUGAGAUUUCUUAUGAAUUGGGGAUUUUUGAAAUUCUGUGGGAACCGAUUGUUGUGUGGUGAUUUCUGGGUUAUCUCUCAUUUGUUCCCUCUAUUAGUUGCUCUAGUUGAGUGGUAGCCGAAUAGGGGAAUGAAGGUGUUUUGUGUGAUAUGUUGUGCUCUGUUUUGGUGUUCUAGCGUGUGGGUGUUCUGUUUUGUUGUUCUAGUCGAGCGUGUGUAUGUGCUCUAUUUUGGUGUUCCAACCAUGUGUUGCACAAAGCAAGAUUGUAGUCCAUCCUUGUGUUUUAUCAAGUUUAAGUCAUGUUUUAGUGAUGCUUUUAUGUGUUAAAUUAAUGAAGUUAAACUUAUAAAUUUGGCAUGUUUUCCCUAAGGUUUAUGGCCUAAGUAAGCCACUAGGAACUUCAAGUAAAAAUAGUAAGUUGCCUUGGAAAUUUGAGUUGCCGAAUAUGGUGCUCAUUAUGUAUGUUAUGUUUUCAGAAAAAUGUUAUACCUUUCCUAUGUUUUCUACAACUUUCAUAUGGUUUAAUUAUGUAGUUGAAGUUUUGGCUAAGUAAGGGAUAUUUAAGACCAUGAAUAUGCUAGAACUUGCUAGCUGCACAUGCAUUUUAAAGUUCUGAAAUAUAUUCUGUUUUGGGAGCCUAAAUCAGCCCAUUCCAUCUCUUGCUCAACUUCACCCUUUUGCUUAAUCAAUGACGAACUUUAGUAUGGAAAACCCUUGAAGAAUGAGUGUCAAAAACCAACCCUCUUGUAGUCGUUGGCCUUUUAUUAGAUUUACUUCCACAUGAGGUUGUAAAGCUGUCAAAAUGCCCUCUUUGACGAAAAUUCCAGAUUUUGCAACAAAUUCUUAUUCCUUUCCCUUUUCAAAUAAAUCCCUACCAUCCUAUAUGUUUUAACUCAUGAUUUCCUACCUAUCCCUUGUAUAGAAAGUAGUAGCUUUAAAGAGGGGCAGCAAGUAAGUUAAUUAUUUUCAUGGGUUUCUUUAAAUGUCAGAAUGAGAAUAUUAGGGUUGACUUAGUAUCAAGUAUGCAGCUAAGGGGUUAAGGAAAACACUUUAAUUCCAAUGUGGAAUUUAAGUGAGGGCGUAAGGGUGUCGGAUAGCAAGACUUAAUGUGAAAUGAAUUUUAAUGCGUUCAUUUCAUUUCAUUGAAUAGGAGUUUAUUUCAAGAUUUAAGGAACCUACUUGUAAAGCAUCGAGAUAAUUAGCUAUGACCAUGCUCCUUACAUUCUUAUGAAAAAGUGUCUCGCUCCUUCCAAAUGUUUCUCUUAUGAAAGAAUAUAUGCAUGUAUAGUAUGUAUAACCCUUUCUUGGUAACCCCUGUUAAGUACCCUAUUAAUUACCAUUGUGUAUAUAUAAGGUAAUGCAUCAUGAGAUUUUAUGCAUGCUCUCUCUUGAAUAAUUAUGCCUUACCUAUAUGUAUGUAGCAUGACAUGAAACAUUCCUUUCAAAGAAACGCAUAUGCAUUGGCACUAAAUGAAGAUAAUGAAAACAUUGAUUUUUCUAAAGAAAGGAAAGGAAAAAAAAUAAAAGCAUGAAUGUAUGUGACUGCCAUAUGUAUGCUAAGGGUACCAAAGAAAUGGGCAGAUUGCAAUGCCUAGUAAGUAGUACUGGUAGUGCACCCAGUGCUGCCCCCCCUCUCGAUGAAAGGGAUUCCUAACCUGUGGCCACGGGUGGUAUCCAGGUCUAAAAGACCACUAACCCCAACACACUGGGCGUAAUAGUGUGUACUAGCCGAAGAAAGUGGAGUGUAAAGCAAAGUUAGUUCUUAGAAAUGUUUAAGCACGAAAGUAUAGCUAUGCCUUAAAUUGUUUAUGCAUGGAAAGAGAGUUAUUUCUUAAAUUGUUUAUGCACGGAAGUAUUGGCAAGAACUACAAAUGUUAUGUAUACAUGUUUUCAAAAGAAAAGAUUAUGUGAGUAAUAAGUUAACGGCAUGGUGUACUGCAUACUGAGUAUUAGACUCACUUUGUGUUUAUGUUUUAAACGUCCACGUAUGGAUGAAGAGUCUAUGGAGCUGGGCACUGCGAAGGAGGGAGGGGCCGAUGCUUAGAGUUUCCCUGACGGUUUGACCAUGAUGAGGAUGGUUAUAUUUUUAUUUUAUUUUAUGAUGGGUCCCAUGUUGAGACAUUUUGUUGGCUUGACUUUUAAACAAUAUGCCUACGGGCAUGAUGUAAAUAUUACGGUGGGGUGAUGGUAAUGGCAUAACUUCUAUGGUGGGGUGAUAGUAACCCCACAUAAGAUGGUAUGGUUUGUAGGGACAGAGUCCCCUCUUACUUAGGACUGUUUAUGGUUGGUGAAUGGAUAAUGGACUCUGAGAGUCCUUUAUUUAGAAUAUUGAAGAGAUCGUUUAUCAGGUGUUCCUUUUAAAUUAGAAGUGCAGAGUGCAUGCACGACAUGUUCACGCAUGUCCCUUAUUACCUCGAAAAAAAAAAAAAAAUAGCACUAAUAAUAAUAAGGAAAGAACAGGUCACGCAUCGUGAUCACGUCCUAAGAAUGGGACGGGGUUGUGACAUACUUAGCAAAACUUCAUAAUUUAUUUAAUGAUGAAAGAAUAGUAUUUCUAUAAUUAAAGUUGAGUUUAGAUUUAUGAUAUGAUUUUUCUAUCUUAAUUCAUAUUAUUUUACUUAAUUUAUUUCAAUAUUUUAAUAUUCACCGUUAGAUCAAUAUGAAGAGCCAAGAUAAAGGGUCUAAAUUAAAACCUACUCUUCUCUUUUCCCUCUCUCUUUCCCCUUCCCCUUGCAGUUGACGGAACCCCCCUUCUCCCCUCUCUUAUCCUUUGGCCAUUGCCCAGCAGCCGGCGACUACUGCAGUGCCGCGCCACCACUACCUCACCGACGAACACCACUCGCUGAACCCAGCCUCCCCACAACGCCUCUCUCUCCCUCUCCUCCUCCCCCAAAACGAGCCUCCUUCCCUCUUAGCUUCUCCACGUCAUUGUCGCAACCCGCACCCAAGCCAUCGCCGUUCAUCGUCGACUACACUAAGAGCCCCUCGCCGGCUCCCGCCGAUCAUCCCCCAACUCCCCCACGAUCUCUCCAUUCCCUGUAACUCCCUUGUCUUCAUCUGUGGGUAUGUUUUCUUCUCUUUGUUUUUUUGUUCUCUCUUUGGUGAUUUUGAGUUUGUUUUGAAUAGAAUAUUUGAAUGUUUGAGGAGUAUUUUUAUGGGUUACAUCCUCGUGUCGUCUUCUUCAUCCAUGGGUAUGUUUUAUUCUCUCUGUUUUUUUGUUCUCUCUUUGGUGAUUUUGAGUUUGUUUUGAAGAGAAUAUUUGAAUGUUUGAGGAGUAUUUUUAUGGGUUAGAUGCUUGUGCCGUCAUCUUCAUUCGUGGAUAUGUUUUAUAAUAUUUGUUUUUUUGUUCACUCUUUGGUAUUUUGAGUUUGUUUUGCAGACAAUUUUGAAUGUUUAAUGGGUUUUAGAGUUUGGGUGAAAGUCAAAUCUUGGGAUUAAUUUUGGAUUCGGUGGGAUAGGUUUGAAGAGGGAGUGAAAUUGUGAAAGUGAUGGGUUUUGGUGGGAGAGGUUUGAAUGACCAAAUACUUACUCCUCUUUUCAUCAAAUAAUCUUGUUUCCUUCAAACAGAUAAUUUUGUAUUCUGAUUGUUAAAUAAAGGUGUAAUAUUAGGGCACUGAGUUGUAGUAUUCUGGUUCUCUUUCGCUAACUUGUUCUCUUAGACAACAUUGGACAUUGAGUUCACAAGACUCGGAUCAUUGUUGCAAUCCUUGGUACCUUUUUCUACACAUGGUAUGCUUUGCAGUAGCAUUGGCUUGCUCACAGUAUACUAUGACUUGCUUUAUGCAUUCAGUAUAAAUAGCAUCCUUCUGAAUGAAACAUUUUUGUUGGCAGUGUCUUUAUUCAAUAAGAUGCGAAAAUACUGUUAUUGAGCUACUUUUAUUAUAUAUUGUGUCUAUUGUUAAUACUUGGUCAAUCCAUUUUGGAAACCUCUACUUUGUAAUGUAUGCAUGGAGAAUUUGGUGUUCCUUUCAUGGUUUCUGCUUUUCUCUGUUGAAAUACAUUCUUACUCUUCAGUUUGGGUGGUGGAGAGAAUAUACUAGGAAUUCAAUGUAGCGGUUGUCUUCAAUUUAGGUGGCUACAUCAAAAUAUCUAUGAAGUUUUAUUUGGUGUGAUUAAAUCACAUGGAAGACUAUGUUAUCGAUAUGUAACUCAUAUCUUGUAAUUUUAUAUUUUGUAAUGUAAUGUAGUUUACUGUAAGUUUCUUGUCCAUUGUUCAAGUUAUUUGUAUUCCAAUAUUUUCUUUUCUA